UCAGGAUGAACGCUAGCUACAGGCUUAACACAUGCAAGUCGAGGGGCAGCAUGGUCUUAGCUUGCUAAGGCCGAUGGCGACCGGCGCACGGGUGAGUAACACGUAUCCAACCUGCCGUCUACUCUUGGACAGCCUUCUGAAAGGAAGAUUAAUACAAGAUGGCAUCAUGAGUCCGCAUGUUCACAUGAUUAAAGGUAUUCCGGUAGACGAUGGGGAUGCGUUCCAUUAGAUAGUAGGCGGGGUAACGGCCCACCUAGUCUUCGAUGGAUAGGGGUUCUGAGAGGAAGGUCCCCCACAUUGGAACUGAGACACGGUCCAAACUCCUACGGGAGGCAGCAGUGAGGAAUAUUGGUCAAUGGGCGAGAGCCUGAACCAGCCAAGUAGCGUGAAGGAUGACUGCCCUAUGGGUUGUAAACUUCUUUUAUAAAGGAAUAAAGUCGGGUAUGGAUACCCGUUUGCAUGUACUUUAUGAAUAAGGAUCGGCUAACUCCGUGCCAGCAGCCGCGGUAAUACGGAGGAUCCGAGCGUUAUCCGGAUUUAUUGGGUUUAAAGGGAGCGUAGAUGGAUGUUUAAGUCAGUUGUG
This 583-nucleotide ribosomal RNA is filed under the name uncultured Bacteroidota bacterium. Its description in RNAcentral is "bacterial SSU rRNA". It matches the Rfam family "Bacterial small subunit ribosomal RNA", at positions 24 to 596 of the family's 1533-position model. The record is from RNAcentral. Lineage: Bacteria; Pseudomonadati; Bacteroidota.